Molecule: ribosomal RNA, 498 nt
Filed under: uncultured bacterium
Lineage: Bacteria
Description: partial 16S ribosomal RNA
Rfam family: Bacterial small subunit ribosomal RNA
Source: RNAcentral
GACGAACGCUGGCGGCGUGCCUAAUACAUGCAAGUCGAGCGGACGAAUCGAAAGCUUGCUUUUGAUUCGUUAGCGGCGGACGGGUGAGUAACACGUGGGCAACCUGCCCUGUAGACGGGGAUAACACCGAGAAAUCGGUGCUAAUACCGGAUAGCACGAAAUGUCGCAUGACGUUUCGUUGAAAGACGGCGCAAGCUGCCGCUACAGGAUGGGCCCGCGGCGCAUUAGCUAGUUGGUGAGGUAACGGCUCACCAAGGCGACGAUACGUAGCCGACCUGAGAGGGUGAUCGGCCACACUGGGACUGAGACACGGCCCAGACUCCUACGGGAGGCAGCAGUAGGGAAUCUUCCGCAAUGGACGAAAGUCUGACGGAGCAACGCCGCGUGAGCGAAGAAGGCCUUCGGGUCGUAAAGCUCUGUUGUUAGGGAAGAACAAGUAACGCAGUAACUGGCGUUACCGUGACGGUACCUAACGAGAAAGCCACGGCUAACUACGUG